Molecule: unclassified non-coding RNA, 410 nt
Filed under: fungal sp.
Lineage: Eukaryota; Fungi
Description: partial internal transcribed spacer region
Rfam family: Eukaryotic small subunit ribosomal RNA (bases 1-46)
Source: RNAcentral
AAGUCGUAACAAGGUAUCCGUAGGUGAACCUGCGGAUGGAUCAUUAAAACCAAAAACAGCUAACGUGCUUCAAACACACGUUACUAACCCCAAACUUGUGCACCCAUUUCACAACACUUGGCGAGUGAUAGUUGUUGACCGGGGUCGAGCCGCGUUUCCCCUCGUGGGAGAGCGUGUGCUGGGUCUUCAUUGGUGAGAAGAAGGCCUCACGACUUGUCACAGCUGCGACUCACUUGCUCAAAUGUUUUUUCUUUAAUUCUCGCCACUUUUUUUUAACCCAUUGAACUAAUUUAUUCUUUCUUUAGUUGUACUAAACGUUUUCGAACACUGUUUGAACACGACUUCACUGUCGUUCCAAACUGGAAUAAGAAACGCAAGAACAACUCUUAGCAACGGAUAUCUAGGUUCUC